CCCCUCCCAGUAUGACACCUGGAGAGUUUCCAGUCCUCUACCAGUCUCGGCUACGGGAGGGAUAGUGAAGCAGAGGCAUACCCAUUCCAUUCCUAGCUUGGCCAGUGGCUCGCAAGUGGAAGGCAAUCUGCUACAAGU
Molecule: non-coding RNA, 138 nt
Organism: Ornithorhynchus anatinus (platypus)
Lineage: Eukaryota; Metazoa; Chordata; Mammalia; Monotremata; Ornithorhynchidae
Source: Rfam